GGGUCGUUAGCUCAGUUGGUAGAGCAGUUGACUUUUAAUCAAUUGGUCGCAGGUUCGAAUCCCGCACGACCCA
This is a non-coding RNA of Serratia sp. M24T3, 73 nucleotides long. Lineage: Bacteria; Pseudomonadati; Pseudomonadota; Gammaproteobacteria; Enterobacterales; Yersiniaceae. The record is from Rfam.